UCUUACUCAUAAAUUUCUUACAAAUGUCAAGUACACUCUGUUUUUUUUUUUCUUUUAUUCUCUUAGUUAUGUUUCUUCCACUUGAGUUCUCUCACAUUCAACUUAUCUAUCCGAGAGAAGCAAACGUAAAAGCAUCAUCUUACAGAGGAAAAAACAAAGCCAGCCUUUGAAGUUUUCCAGACAGUGACUAAGUUUCCCGUCUUCUGCUUGGAAGUUACUCCUAGACUCUGUAUUUUGCAGAUUUUAUUUUCGGAUGAAAAAUGGAUGUAUCAUUUAUUAUGUAAAGAGUAUCAUAGAUAUAUGUGUAGAGGGUAGAUGUGUAUGUGUAGAUAAUGUAGAGCGUAGAUGUGUAUUUGUAGAGUAGAUCUAUCAUAGAUGUAUGUGUAGAGAGAGAGGAAGGAGAGAGAGAGAGGGGAAGGAGAGAGAGAGAGAGAGGGAAGAGAGAGAGGAGGGAGGGGAGGAAGGUGAGAGAGAGUAUUGUGGAAACGGUUGAAGCUAGGGAUGUUACCGUCGGUAAACCAGUCCGGCCCGGUCCGUACCUGAAAAAAGCCUUUGCAUCUUAGCCUAAGAUCUGGUUAAGAUACUACCAAUAAUGGUGGUCUUAUACAAAAUAUAUUUAAAAAUUAUAUAUGUGACCAUAAUCUUUAAUAAAAUUCAAUAAACUGUCUU
Capsella rubella is the source of this 669-nucleotide long non-coding RNA. RefSeq lists it as uncharacterized. The record is from RefSeq and is a predicted model, not a curated record. The transcript is spliced from 2 exons. Lineage: Eukaryota; Viridiplantae; Streptophyta; Magnoliopsida; Brassicales; Brassicaceae.